RNAcentral lists this ribosomal RNA (465 nucleotides) under uncultured bacterium. Its description in RNAcentral is "partial 16S ribosomal RNA". It matches the Rfam family "Bacterial small subunit ribosomal RNA", at positions 28 to 507 of the family's 1533-position model. The record is from RNAcentral.
GAUGAACGCUGGCGGCGUGCUUAACACAUGCAAGUCGAACGGAAAGGCUCCUGCUUGCAGGGGUACUCGAGUGGCGAACGGGUGAGUAACACGUGGGUGAUCUGCCCUGCACUUCGGGAUAAGCCUGGGAAACUGGGUCUAAUACCGGAUAGGACGAUGGUUUGGAUGCCAUUGUGGAAAGUUUUUCGGUGUGGGAUGAGCUCGCGGCCUAUCAGCUCGUUGGUGGGGUAAUGGCCUACCAUGGCGUCGACGGGUAGCCGGCCUGAGAGGGUGUACGGCCACAUUGGGACUGAGAUAAGGCACAGACUCCUACGGGAGGCAGCAGUGGGGAAUAUUGCACAAUGGACGCAAGCGUGAUGCAGCGACGCCGCGUGGGGGAUGACGGCCUUCGGGUUGUAAACUCCUUUCGCUAGGGACGAAGCGCAAGUGACGGUACCUGGAGAAGAAGCACCGGCUAACUACGUG